This 2826-nucleotide unclassified non-coding RNA is filed under the name Schistocerca americana (American grasshopper). Its description in RNAcentral is "tetratricopeptide repeat protein 27, transcript variant X1". The record is from RNAcentral. Lineage: Eukaryota; Metazoa; Arthropoda; Insecta; Orthoptera; Acrididae.
GUCACGAAGAUGGCACAGUCAUAGUGUAAGGUGGCGUUGGUACAGUGCAGUAUAUGUUGUGUAUGCUGGAGUGAUGUGCGGCGUUCAGUUUGUUUAGAAAUCUGCUAGAGAUUGGUAAUAAUGCCGAAAUUGCGUGACGCAGACGUGAAAGCAUUAGAAGAAUAUAUAGCGACUGGAUUCCAGAAAUCAUUUCCUGUUGAAGAAGGUGCAUGCAGUGAAAUCAUUGUAUAUCUCAGACAUGGGAAGUAUGCAGAUAUAUUGGAGUCUGAGCUGUCAAAGGCUGUGUUUAACAAAUUUCUGAGUUGUGCUUCAACAGAAGAGCUCUUGGACAAGUCCUUGCAGUAUUCUGUUGAGUGCUAUAUCGACCAGAAUGAAUUAUCACUGGAAAGGCAGCUGGACGUGCUGUGUGUCGGGAUCUCGUCGCUGCUGUUCUUUGUCCGGGCAAACUGGACAGGCCCUCCCGUGGAGCCAAGCGACCUGCCCCCGUGGCUGCGGGACAGGGAUGGCGUUGCGGCGGCCUGCCUCGUGCUGGACGGGGAGGCCCUCUAUCCCUCCACCAGGCACGUCCAACUGCUCGCCGUCGCUGCUGCAGUCUUCAAGACCACUGCAGAGAGGUUCUCUGCCAAUCUACCCACGACUCCGUGGUGGCUGAUGCGCUACCUGGUGGCACACCAGCGCGUCCUGGAGGAGGCGUCCCCCACGCUGCACGCUUCCCUCGUGUCGCUGCUCGAAGGCAAGGUGGCAGAGGCGAGCUCGGGCCCGCUGGUGGGCGGUAUCGCAGGGGUGCUGCUGCCCCUCGAGUCGGCCCUCAUCUGGCUCCACUUCGGGCAGGUGCUGCGCUCCAAGGAGCUGCUGCUCGCCGCACUCGGGCGGGCCGGGCUCACGCUGGAGCUUGUCGGUGCUAUGGGAAAAAGAACCCGUUAUCAAGAAAAGGAGCUCGCUCAGCUGACUCUAAAAGUUGAGCUGGAAGCAACAGAACAGCCUUCAGGUGAUGGGAUCAGUGGCCUGAGCUCGGAAGAGUUGGCUGAUCGCCUACCAAAGGACCUGCAACUUGAUGACGAUGUCCGGUUGAACCGCAUCCAGUAUGCAGAAGACAGUGGUGCCGGUGAAUAUCCCAAGCUGAGCCCCUCCGAUCAGGCAGUUAUCCUUGGUGCAUUUGUCCAAACCCAGAAAUCUCAACCCAAGGACAGACUUGCUGAUGAGGAACUGAUGCCUUACCUAGAGUGUGUGCUGGCAGCUCCCCAGUCCUGGAGUGUCCAGAUGUCAGCGCUGUUGCUUCGCUGCCGACUGGAGUCGUGGCAUUCACGCACAGUGGAGCGUUCGAUGAAUCAGUGCCAGAUUCUGGUAGAUGCCAUAGACAGCGACAAGCCUCCAGUAGCCUUCCGGUGGCCGCAGCUCUUCUCUACUCCUCUGCCGCCGCGGUGGCACAUCGAGUCGGAACUGGCACACCUGCUGCUGUCCCUGGGUGCCGUGAACAGUGCCCUCGACAUCUUCCUGCGUCUCGAGGAGUGGGAGGCCGUCGUCAACUGCUACCACAUGCUCAAGCUGCGCCAUAAGGCUGCCGAGAUAGUGAGGCACGAGCUGCAGAAGAAGGAGACAGUGAAGCUGUGGUGCCUGCUCGGGGACUCGACAGACGACCCGGUGUACUACGAGAGGGCCUGGGAGCUGUCAGGACGGCGCAGCGCGCGUGCCCAACGCCACUGGGGGCUGUUCUACUUCAACCGCAAGCAGUAUGACAAGGCCAUUCAACAUCUCUCAAAAUCCCUCGAAAUCAACAGCUUGCAGGCAGGUCUGUGGUCCAGGCUCGGUUUUGCCUGCCUCGAGGAAAGCCAGUGGGACAUGUGUGCUACUGCUUACCGCCGCUACUGUGCCCUCGAUAACGAGAACUUCGAGGCUUGGAACAAUCUGGCGAAGGCCUACGUAAAACUGGGUCAAAAGGCUCGCGCCUGGAAGGCACUGAAAGAAGCUCUCAAAUGUAAUUUUGAGAACUGGAAAGUGUGGGACAAUCUCAUGAUUGUGAGCACUGACUGCGCAGAGUUUGAAGACGUCAUACAAGCAUAUCACAGGAUAUUGGACCUCAAAGCUAAGCAUGUCGAUGAGGAUGUCCUUCGAAUCCUGGUGAAAGCAGUGGCAAACAACCUCCCAGAUAAUGCCGGUGUGCCAUCACGGAGACUGAUAAAGGCUGCACUGGGUCUGUUUGGGCGUCUUACAGGACAGGUGACGAACAACCCAACGCUGUGGCGGCUUUAUGCACAGCUGACGUCGAGCCAGGAGGUGCAGACCCCAGAGACACUGCAGCGCACAGCGCAGUACCUGCAGAGGGCACACCGCUCUGCCGUGCAGGACCUCCGGUGGGCUUCCGACCGGCAGACCGCCGCCGACGUGCUCGGCCUCUGUAUCGAGUUGGUUGAUGCCUACCUCCAGUGCUUCCAGAAGUUUCCGACAAACCAGGGCCUCCAGAUGCUGUCCUCAGGAAGACUAUCGCUUAAAAGUGUCCUCGCAAAGGUUAAGCAAGAACAGACUGAUCUGGCAUCAGGCACCCUGUCAGAGGAACUGAAGGAUUUGGUGUCAACUCUGGAGGUGAAGUUGGAAAGCAUCGAAUCGGAGAUGGCACAACUGCGUGGCCAAUCGGAGCAACAGUGAGCUUUCCUGAGAUCUCUCACUUCACUGUGCUAUACUGAACAAUAAUGUGAAUGUGCUCAAGCCAGCCAGAGCAGCUUUCCAUUCAUCUUAGGACUGCGUGACAGUGGAGUAAAUGAGUCUGGAUGUGUCACUGGUAUCAAGAUAGUAUACUUUGUACAUACUAAUAAAGACAUGGAAUUGUAA